This 315-nucleotide long non-coding RNA is filed under the name Panax ginseng (ginseng). Its description in RNAcentral is "long non-coding RNA (PGIN_LNC018493)". Lineage: Eukaryota; Viridiplantae; Streptophyta; Magnoliopsida; Apiales; Araliaceae. The record is from RNAcentral.
ACGGGACACAAGUAGUAUAAAACUACGGAGCUAAAAUAUUAUUGUUGAAAAUUAAAACAGAAAAAAAGAAGGAAAGAUUAAGGAGGGAGAAAGUGACGGUAGAUAGGGGUGGGGACGAGCACAAGUUUGUUAUUAUCCACUAAAUGGGUAUUCGUGGCAGUAAAAGGUUGGAAGAUCAGGAGAAGGACCCACCAUGGCGAGUGAUAAGUUACAGGUGGCUAAAUCCUGCGCCUUAAUUUGGACAGCAGCGACACCACUUUAACACCAAGUAACUGAAACUGAAUGAACAUCCCCCAUUCCCUGAAUCCCCUCCCC